RNAcentral lists this ribosomal RNA (490 nucleotides) under uncultured bacterium. Its description in RNAcentral is "partial 16S ribosomal RNA". It matches the Rfam family "Bacterial small subunit ribosomal RNA", at positions 28 to 507 of the family's 1533-position model. The record is from RNAcentral.
GAUGAACGCUAGCUACAGGCUUAACACAUGCAAGUCGAGGGGCAGCAUGGUCUUAGCUUGCUAAGGCCGAUGGCGACCGGCGCACGGGUGAGUAACACGUAUCCAACCUGCCGUCUACUCUUGGACAGCCUUCUGAAAGGAAGAUUAAUACAAGAUGGCAUCAUGAGUCCGCAUGUUCACAUGAUUAAAGGUAUUCCGGUAGACGAUGGGGAUGCGUUCCAUUAGAUAGUAGGCGGGGUAACGGCCCACCUAGUCUUCGAUGGAUAGGGGUUCUGAGAGGAAGGUCCCCCACAUUGGAACUGAGACACGGUCCAAACUCCUACGGGAGGCAGCAGUGAGGAAUAUUGGUCAAUGGGCGCAGGCCUGAACCAGCCAAGUAGCGUGAAGGAUGACUGCCCUAUGGGUUGUAAACUUCUUUUAUAAAGGAAUAAAGUCGGGUAUGUAUACCCGUUUGCAUGUACCUUAUGAAUAAGGAUCGGCUAACUCCGUG